Molecule: non-coding RNA, 45 nt
Filed under: Schistosoma mansoni
Lineage: Eukaryota; Metazoa; Platyhelminthes; Trematoda; Strigeidida; Schistosomatidae
Source: RNAcentral
ACCCAACCGAUGAGUCCCAAGUAGGACGAAACACACUUCCUGGAU